Molecule: long non-coding RNA, 287 nt
Filed under: Prunus persica (peach)
Lineage: Eukaryota; Viridiplantae; Streptophyta; Magnoliopsida; Rosales; Rosaceae
Description: long non-coding RNA (PPER_LNC000725)
Source: RNAcentral
AAAAGACGAACACAGAUUAGCUUCGGCAGGUAAAAAAAACAAAACAACACUACCAAACGACAUCUUAUAGCCUACCGAUUGUUUGAAAAGUCGUGGGGAUGUGCCUCUCCCCAAUCACACCUGAUGCCGAUUCCCAAUCUCCAGAAACCAACACCUGACGCCGACACCACGUCUUCUGCGAGCUCGGUACCCGCAGAUGUGUUCAACUAAACCCACUUCCUUUGGUCAGCGCUCUUUGCCCUCGUCACGCUGUACAGAUGGGCAAACUACUGAUAGCUCAGUUCUCC